Molecule: transfer-messenger RNA, 380 nt
Filed under: Bacilli
Lineage: Bacteria; Bacillati; Bacillota
Also listed under: 1 other name
Description: UBA3789 sp900543055 Standard tmRNA
Rfam family: transfer-messenger RNA
About the family: Bacterial tmRNA, also known as 10Sa RNA or SsrA, is named for its dual tRNA and mRNA-like properties. Its role is to liberate the mRNA from a stalled ribosome. To accomplish this part of the tmRNA is used as a reading frame that ends in a translation stop signal.
Source: RNAcentral
GGGGCUGAUUUGGUUUCGACAGGAAUAGUUGAGCAUAGAUGGCAAGUCGAAUGUCCACGUUACGGACAAAAAAAAAUAAAUGCAAAUAAAAUUAAAAAUGCUGUAGCAACUUUAUUUGGCGUUCGUCCAACUAUGGCUGCUUUUGCCUAAUAAUAUAAAGGCCAGUGCUUCUACUUAUUUUUACCUAGGAAUAUUUAGAGGUUCAAUUUAAUAGGUUAUAGCUAUCUUUUGUCUAGAGGAUAGAAAGAAUAUUUAGACUAGUAUAUUUAUUUGGUCGUCAAUUACUUGAUAAAUAUAUGAAUUUAAUUAGUUGACUAAGCUUGUAGAAGUUUAUGUAGCUCUAUUUUUGGACAGGAGUUCGAUUCUCCUCAGCUCCACCA